This 253-nucleotide ribosomal RNA is filed under the name uncultured bacterium. Its description in RNAcentral is "partial 16S ribosomal RNA". It matches the Rfam family "Bacterial small subunit ribosomal RNA", at positions 524 to 776 of the family's 1533-position model. The record is from RNAcentral.
UACGGAGGGAGCUAGCGUUGUUCGGAAUUACUGGGCGUAAAGCGCACGUAGGCGGCUUGUUAAGUCAGGGGUGAAAUCCUGGAGCUCAACUCCAGAACUGCCUUUGAUACUGGCGAGCUUGAGCUCGGGAGAGGUGAGUGGAACUGCGAGUGUAGAGGUGAAAUUCGUAGAUAUUCGCAAGAACACCAGUGGCGAAGGCGGCUCACUGGCCCGAUACUGACGCUGAGGUGCGAAAGCGUGGGGAGCAAACAGG